RNAcentral lists this ribosomal RNA (544 nucleotides) under uncultured bacterium. Its description in RNAcentral is "bacterial SSU rRNA". It matches the Rfam family "Bacterial small subunit ribosomal RNA", at positions 777 to 1320 of the family's 1533-position model. The record is from RNAcentral.
AAUAGAUACCCAGGUAGUCCACGCCGUAAACGAUGAGUGCUAAGUGUUAGGGGGUUUCCGCCCCUUAGUGCUGCAGCUAACGCAUUAAGCACUCCGCCUGGGGAGUACGGUCGCAAGACUGAAACUCAAAGGAAUUGACGGGGGCCCGCACAAGCGGCGGAGCAUGUGGUUUAAUUCGAAGCAACGCGAAGAACCUUACCAGGUCUUGACAUCCCAUUGACCACUAUGGAGACAUAGUUUUCCCUUCGGGGACAACGGUGACAGGUGGUGCAUGGUUGUCGUCAGCUCGUGUCGUGAGAUGUUGGGUUAAGUCCCGCAACGAGCGCAACCCUUGUUCUUAGUUGCCAUCAUUUAGUUGGGCACUCUAAGGAGACUGCCGGUGACAAACCGGAGGAAGGUGGGGAUGACGUCAAAUCAUCAUGCCCCUUAUGACCUGGGCUACACACGUGCUACAAUGGACGGUACAAACGGUUGCCAACCCGCGAGGGGAGCUAAUCCGAUAAAACCGUUCUCAGUUCGGAUUGUAGGCUGCAACUCGCCUACA